This 1488-nucleotide long non-coding RNA is filed under the name Hordeum vulgare. RNAcentral's name for it is "long non-coding RNA (HVUL_LNC005778)". The record is from RNAcentral. Lineage: Eukaryota; Viridiplantae; Streptophyta; Magnoliopsida; Poales; Poaceae.
UUUGGCAGACAGUGCAUAUAGCCUUCAACAUUAUGCUUUCGGAUAGCAUGGACACGUUAUUUGGAGCGUGGCUAGAUGGAGUUGAUAUGAUUAUUGCUAGACACAUUCGUAUUGGAAUUUGUGCACUACAUUGGGAUAUAUGGAACUGUAGGAAUGAUGUGGUUUUUGACAGACAUACAAAUAUACAUUUUUUGCAGGAACUACACAAAGCGGCGUCAUUGAUCCGUACAUGGUCGUUACUCACUCCUGCGGAAACCAGGGAGCCUUUGGUUACUGGGUCUACCUGAUGGGAGGCGGUAGCGUGGGAUAUCUUCAAUCGGUUUGGAUGGCGGUCCAGUAAUAGGAUAGAUGGCUAGGCAUCUAGGCCUGUUUGCCGGUUGUGGCACUUUUUGAUUUACUUUUUCUUAUCUACUUCUAUGUCGGAGACUUUGUUGAACCGAGAUUCGUUUGCUUUUUAUAAUAAAGUGGUCGUAUGCAUCGUGCUGAUGCAGAGGCCGGAGGUAACACUCCUUUUCUAUAAAAAAAUGUUUGUUGACAAGAAACUACUCUAAAUCUCUUGUCAUGCAUAAUAUUAUUCGUAUACUCCAAGAUGAUCUAGAAUUAGAUAAGCCAUUCCUUGUGAUAUAUUUAAAUGUUUGGAGUGUGUAAAAUAAAAUAAUUAUCUACAUCUCCUUUCUCGUAGUUCAUAUUCAGUUGCUGCAAUGUCCUUUUUGUCGUUUUUAUAAUGUCAUGUACUUCCAUGAGUGGAGAGAGGAAGGUAUACAAUAUCGGCGAAACAUAUGCCUAUUUUAAGGAUGAUUGAAAUCUAUUUUUUGUCCUAUCACCUUUUCGUUAGGAUGAUUAAGGUAAAUUUCCGUCAUGCGAUGUUGUAGUAUGCAUUGGAGUGAGAUGUGCAUAGUGUCACAUUUUAUUCUGGGAAAGCCACUACAGGGUCCUCUUUGACGUCAUUAAAUAAUAAUUACAUUUUAUAUGAGAUACAUCAAAGAAAGCUAGGGGUUCAUAGGAUAGAUUAUAAUGAACUUUCAAAAUAAACAUAAAAUAUAGCUAUCUCUUGCAUAAUAUUGUUCACUUGUCUUCGUUAUUGGCUUCAAUUGACCUUUGCAUUUGACCUUCAAACUUAAGCCUGCUUAGAAAUUAUAGUGGUAGAACAAAAGAAGGGAUGUGAGAAGAGAAACAGCAUUGCUUGCUGAAAUACACGGGCAUUGUCAAAAUAGUUUUUGUCGACCCACUCUAUCCUAUUGUUUAAUGCAUAAAGUGGAUGACACCUGACUAGCUAACAUGACAUCGUUAGUUAGGUGCCGACUUAGUUAGGUGGGGUCUACCAUAAAGAAGGAGGUACUAGCUACUACCUUUAUCCUGCUUAAUUUAUUGGUCUCUUUUAUAUUUUCUACUAAGUUCUGAUCAUACACUUAACUAGAAAAAUGUUAGUGCAAGUUACCAAAAAAUAUAUCGUUAGAUUUGUAUUUGAGCUAUUAUUUUUUUGACAUG